Mya arenaria is the source of this 680-nucleotide long non-coding RNA. RefSeq lists it as uncharacterized. The transcript is spliced from 2 exons. The record is from RefSeq and is a predicted model, not a curated record. Lineage: Eukaryota; Metazoa; Mollusca; Bivalvia; Myida; Myidae.
UCGCCUUAUUCCAGAAGCCCAUAAUGCUUUGCGACAAAGGUGACUUCCGGUUUAUUUCCGCAUUCAAUUUCCUAGUUAUCGAUACGAGUGAAAGGAAGAGCAUACUUGGCAAAAUAGAUCGAUAGAGAUGUCCAUUCUGGAUGUUUGAUUCCGCCAAGUUGAUGCUCAACAGGAGUAGGCAGUUGAUACCAUUGAUCUGAUAGCACCUGCUAUAUCAGUGGUUUUACAAGAAAAAUUUGUGCAAAACACAAGAGACGGAAUCGGUUCAAGAACAGAGAUAAAAUAAAUGAAGUGUGUCAAUAUGAAUGAAAACUUUCCUUGACUGCAAGGACUAAAGAAAUGCACACAAGUGACAUAAAUUUAAAUGUUUAGUACAAAAAGUAGACAUGUAGAACUUAAAAUUAUGACACAGGAUGUGAAACAACACUUUAUAGCCGAUAACAGUCGAACAAGAGAUUUUUCAAAAAGAAGCAAGAUGUGGUUUUUUAACCCUUGGCAAAUGAACCUUUAAAGGGAUUAUUGCAUACCAAGGACAAUUUAUUGUUAUUGAAUUAUAUCAUGUUUAAUGUUAUUAUUAAAUUGUAAAAAAUACCGUUGUUAUUAAUAUGAUUGUCUAUGAUCUUUUUAUUCCAAUGACUGUGUAAACUCCCAUGGUUAAUAUUAAAAAGACAUAAAAUCGA